Molecule: long non-coding RNA, 733 nt
Filed under: Homo sapiens (human)
Lineage: Eukaryota; Metazoa; Chordata; Mammalia; Primates; Hominidae
Description: HSALNT0358912
Source: RNAcentral
UAUUCUCUGCUUAAUCAUGAGGAAUAAAACCAUGUUGCAGUCAUCAAAAGACAUCAUGAAGAUGCUAUGAUUCCAACCAACCUACAAACCAGGCUUCCAAGGCCAGCUAUGCUGCAGCCUCGCCAUGGCCCAAAUUGGUCUUCAGCAUUGGAAGGCCAGAAAUUCUUUUGCCAGGAUACUCAGAGGGCAUUCAAUUUUCAGGGACUAACUCAUACUCAUCAGACUCACAUACUAAAAGACUAAGGAAAAAAGUUUGCUGGCUCCCAAUGUACACAGUGUCUUUGUCAUCUUACAACAAAACAGCCUCUCUUACCAAUGUCUAUGGUCCACAAGUUAUAGUCAGGUGCACCCUCCAGGUGGUGGCAGAAGAUAUCCAAGAAUGGAAAUUCCAUGCUCAUGUGCAUGGGUGCUCUCAUGGUUCUGAUCCCAGGUUUCAGUGAUUUUUAAAAAGUUGAUUUCUAUAGUGAACCUUCUGUAGACCACAUUGCAGGGAUGGAUACUGAAUAAAGACCAUCAGCCUGAUGAGAAAGUUGUCAAAGAACUAGAUUCUGAAAGAGAAUUCAUCACUUCCUUGUAUAAAUCAUUCACCUCUUUGGUCUUCUUCUGUAAAAUCAAACAGCCCAGCCUCCAUAGUGGGUUGUCAUGAAUAUCAAAUGUGAGAAAACUGAGUGAAAUAUGUUGUAAGGUCUUUUGUAAAUGUGAGGGGAGUAAGAAGCACUGCAUCACACUGGCU